Molecule: ribosomal RNA, 253 nt
Filed under: uncultured bacterium
Lineage: Bacteria
Description: partial 16S ribosomal RNA
Rfam family: Bacterial small subunit ribosomal RNA
Source: RNAcentral
UACGGGGGGGGCAAGCGUUGUUCGGAAUUACUGGGCGUAAAGGGCUCGUAGGCGGCCAACUAAGUCAGACGUGAAAUCCCUCGGCUUAACCGGGGAACUGCGUCUGAUACUGGAUGGCUUGAAUCCGGGAGAGGGAUGCGGAAUUCCAGGUGUAGCGGUGAAAUGCGUAGAUAUCUGGAGGAACACCGGUGGCGAAAGCGGCGCGCUGGACCUCUUCUGACGCUGAGGCGCGAAAGCCAGGGGAGCAAACGGG